This is a long non-coding RNA of Oncorhynchus tshawytscha (Chinook salmon), 762 nucleotides long. Lineage: Eukaryota; Metazoa; Chordata; Actinopteri; Salmoniformes; Salmonidae. The record is from Ensembl.
CAGGAGACCACCUCCGCCACCUCAUCAGGAGCAUGCCCAGGCAUUGUAGGGAGGUCAUACAGGCACGUGGAGGCCACACACACUACUGAGCCUCAUUUUGACUUGUUUUAAGGACAUUACAUCAAAGUUGGAUCAGCCUAUAGUGGUUUUCCACUUUAAAUCCAGACCUCCAUGGGAUGAUAAAUUUGAUUUCCAUUGAUACUUUUUUUGUGAUUUUGUUGUCAGCACAUUCAACUAUGUAAAGAAAAAAGUAUUUAAUAAGAAUAUUUCAUUCAUUCAGAUCUAGAAUGUGUUAUUUUAGUGUUCCCUUUUAUUUUUUUGAGCAGUGUAUAUUCACAUGAGGGCAGAAUAUCAUCUUCAGGCAUCAAAAGCGUUCCUCUUUCAACUGGUCGUUGCAUGAAGCAGCUCACAGAAGAACGACAUCGGUGCCGGUAGGGAAUGAAAGACAUUUCAACUGAUGAUAUUUACCAGUAAAUGCUAACAAUUUUUUGAUUUAUGUAUUUUAUUUCACCUUUAUUUAACCAGGUAGGCCAGUUGAGAACACCUUUAUUUAACCAGGUAGGCCAGUUGAGAACACCUUUAUUUAACCAGGUAGGCCAGUUGAGAACACCUUUAUUUAACCAGGUAGGCCAGUUGAGAACACCUUUAUUUAACCAGGUAGGCUAGUUGAGAACACCUUUAUUUAACCAGGUCGGCUAGUUGAGAACACCUUUAUUUAACCAGGUAGGCUAGUUGAGAACACCUUUAUUUAACCAGGUAGGC